Molecule: ribosomal RNA, 2904 nt
Filed under: Enterobacter cloacae
Lineage: Bacteria; Pseudomonadati; Pseudomonadota; Gammaproteobacteria; Enterobacterales; Enterobacteriaceae
Description: bacterial LSU rRNA
Rfam family: Bacterial large subunit ribosomal RNA
Source: RNAcentral
UUAAGCGACUAAGCGUACACGGUGGAUGCCCUGGCAGUCAGAGGCGAUGAAGGACGUGCUAAUCUGCGAAAAGCGCCGGCGAGGUGAUAUGAACCUUUGACCCGGCGAUGUCCGAAUGGGGAAACCCAGUGCAAUUCGUUGCACUAUCGUUAACUGAAUACAUAGGUUAACGAGGCGAACCGGGGGAACUGAAACAUCUAAGUACCCCGAGGAAAAGAAAUCAACCGAGAUUCCCCCAGUAGCGGCGAGCGAACGGGGAGCAGCCCGGAGUCUGAAUCAGCUUGUGUGUUAGUGGAACGGUCUGGAAAGUCCGACGGUACAGGGUGAUAGUCCCGUACACGAAAAUGCACAGGUUGUGAACUCGAAGAGUAGGGCGGGACACGUGGUAUCCUGUCUGAAUAUGGGGGGACCAUCCUCCAAGGCUAAAUACUCCUGACUGACCGAUAGUGAACCAGUACCGUGAGGGAAAGGCGAAAAGAACCCCGGCGAGGGGAGUGAAAAAGAACCUGAAACCGUGUACGUACAAGCAGUGGGAGCCUACUUGUUAGGUGACUGCGUACCUUUUGUAUAAUGGGUCAGCGACUUAUAUUCUGUAGCAAGGUUAACCGUAUAGGGGAGCCGAAGGGAAACCGAGUCUUAACUGGGCGUUAAGUUGCAGGGUAUAGACCCGAAACCCGGUGAUCUAGCCAUGGGCAGGUUGAAGGUUGGGUAACACUAACUGGAGGACCGAACCGACUAAUGUUGAAAAAUUAGCGGAUGACCUGUGGCUGGGGGUGAAAGGCCAAUCAAACCGGGAGAUAGCUGGUUCUCCCCGAAAGCUAUUUAGGUAGCGCCUCGUGAACUCAUCUUCGGGGGUAGAGCACUGUUUCGGCUAGGGGGCCAUCCCGGCUUACCAACCCGAUGCAAACUACGAAUACCGAAGAAUGUUAUCACGGGAGACACACGGCGGGUGCUAACGUCCGUCGUGAAGAGGGAAACAACCCAGACCGCCAGCUAAGGUCCCAAAGUCAUGGUUAAGUGGGAAACGAUGUGGGAAGGCACAGACAGCCAGGAUGUUGGCUUAGAAGCAGCCAUCAUUUAAAGAAAGCGUAAUAGCUCACUGGUCGAGUCGGCCUGCGCGGAAGAUGUAACGGGGCUAAACCAUGCACCGAAGCUGCGGCAGCGACGCUUAUGCGUUGUUGGGUAGGGGAGCGUUCUGUAAGCCGUUGAAGGUGGCCUGUGAGGGUUGCUGGAGGUAUCAGAAGUGCGAAUGCUGACAUAAGUAACGAUAAAGCGGGUGAAAAGCCCGCUCGCCGGAAGACCAAGGGUUCCUGUCCAACGUUAAUCGGGGCAGGGUGAGUCGACCCCUAAGGCGAGGCCGAAAGGCGUAGUCGAUGGGAAACAGGUUAAUAUUCCUGUACUUGGUGUUACUGCGAAGGGGGGACGGAGAAGGCUAUGUUAGCCGGGCGACGGUUGUCCCGGUUUAAGCAUGUAGGCGGAGGUUCCAGGUAAAUCCGGUACCUUUUUAACGCUGAGGUGUGAUGACGAGGCACUACGGUGCUGAAGUAACAAAUGCCCUGCUUCCAGGAAAAGCCUCUAAGCAUCAGGUAACACGAAAUCGUACCCCAAACCGACACAGGUGGUCAGGUAGAGAAUACCAAGGCGCUUGAGAGAACUCGGGUGAAGGAACUAGGCAAAAUGGUGCCGUAACUUCGGGAGAAGGCACGCUGAUAUGUAGGUGAAGCCCCUGCGGGUGGAGCUGAAAUCAGUCGAAGAUACCAGCUGGCUGCAACUGUUUAUUAAAAACACAGCACUGUGCAAACACGAAAGUGGACGUAUACGGUGUGACGCCUGCCCGGUGCCGGAAGGUUAAUUGAUGGGGUUAGCGGUAACGCGAAGCUCUUGAUCGAAGCCCCGGUAAACGGCGGCCGUAACUAUAACGGUCCUAAGGUAGCGAAAUUCCUUGUCGGGUAAGUUCCGACCUGCACGAAUGGCGUAAUGAUGGCCAGGCUGUCUCCACCCGAGACUCAGUGAAAUUGAACUCGCUGUGAAGAUGCAGUGUACCCGCGGCAAGACGGAAAGACCCCGUGAACCUUUACUAUAGCUUGACACUGAACACUGGUCCUUGAUGUGUAGGAUAGGUGGGAGGCUUUGAAGCGUGGACGCCAGUCUGCGUGGAGCCGACCUUGAAAUACCACCCUUUAAUGGCUGGUGUUCUAACGUAGACCCGUAAUCCGGGUUGCGGACAGUGUCUGGUGGGUAGUUUGACUGGGGCGGUCUCCUCCCAAAGAGUAACGGAGGAGCACGAAGGUUAGCUAAUCCUGGUCGGACAUCAGGAGGUUAGUGCAAUGGCAUAAGCUAGCUUGACUGCGAGAGUGACGGCUCGAGCAGGUGCGAAAGCAGGUCAUAGUGAUCCGGUGGUUCUGAAUGGAAGGGCCAUCGCUCAACGGAUAAAAGGUACUCCGGGGAUAACAGGCUGAUACCGCCCAAGAGUUCAUAUCGACGGCGGUGUUUGGCACCUCGAUGUCGGCUCAUCACAUCCUGGGGCUGAAGUAGGUCCCAAGGGUAUGGCUGUUCGCCAUUUAAAGUGGUACGCGAGCUGGGUUUAGAACGUCGUGAGACAGUUCGGUCCCUAUCUGCCGUGGGCGCUGGAGAAUUGAGGGGGGCUGCUCCUAGUACGAGAGGACCGGAGUGGACGCAUCACUGGUGUUCGGGUUGUCAUGCCAAUGGCACUGCCCGGUAGCUAAAUGCGGAAGAGAUAAGUGCUGAAAGCAUCUAAGCACGAAACUUGCCCCGAGAUGAGUUCUCCCUGAGACUAUAAGUCUCCUGAAGGAACGUUGAAGACGACGACGUUGAUAGGUCGGGUGUGUAAGCGCAGCGAUGCGUUGAGCUAACCGAUACUAAUGAACCGUGAGGCUUAACCUU